CGAAAGCGAGUCUGAAUAGGGCGCAUAGUCAGUGGAGGUAGACGCGAAACCCUGUGAUCUACCCAUGGCCAGGUUGAAGCGCGUGUAAGAGCGCGUGGAGGACCGAACCCACUUCAGUUGAAAAUGGAGGGGAUGAGCUGUGGGUAGGGGUGAAAGGCCAAUCAAACUCCGUGAUAGCUGGUUCUCCCCGAAAUGCAUUUAGGUGCAGCGUUGUAUGAGCUUGCCGGAGGUAGAGCUACUGGUUGGUUGAGCGGG
This 255-nucleotide ribosomal RNA is filed under the name Nephroselmis pyriformis. RNAcentral describes it as "partial Bacterial large subunit ribosomal RNA". It matches the Rfam family "Bacterial large subunit ribosomal RNA", at positions 672 to 926 of the family's 2925-position model. The record is from RNAcentral. Lineage: Eukaryota; Viridiplantae; Chlorophyta; Nephroselmidophyceae; Nephroselmidales; Nephroselmidaceae.